CAGGGUCUUAGCUAGGAUUUUAGAUCUUGGGCGUGUUUCUAAUGACCAGGGUGUGCACAUCUCAAUUACUUUGAAUAGCCAAAUUCACGGUUCUAUAGUUAUACUCGCCAACAACAGACAAUGCCUGUGGUUGUUCACUGGUUCUAUGCUUUGCAACCAAAUACAAGGCGAGCAAACGCUCAUAUUUCGCACUGACAUACUCUUGGGGCUAUUUAAAACCACUUUAACACCAUACGGUUCCCAUUAUCCAUCAAAACAUUAAAACAUCACAGAUCACUAGUAUACUUUUGCCAAUUUCAACAACAACAACAACAACAGUAGAUUUUACAAACUUUCUUACAACGUAAAUUGGAAGAAAUUCUGUUUGUUGUAAGUACUGUAGCAACACCUUAUUUUAUGAACCUACACGGCCUUAUAGAAAUAGUGAAGCCGCGUUCAUUUUAUCUAGCCAUGUUUUUCCACUUUUGGCCGCGAUAACACGGCCAACACGGCCCUCUAGCUAAG
Molecule: non-coding RNA, 504 nt
Organism: Paramuricea clavata
Lineage: Eukaryota; Metazoa; Cnidaria; Anthozoa; Malacalcyonacea; Plexauridae
Source: the annotation of a GenBank genome assembly